GACGAACGCUGGCGGCGUGCUUAACACAUGCAAGUCGAACGGAAAGGCCCUGCUUUUGUGGGGUUCUCGAGUGGCGAACGGGUGGGUAACACGUGAGUAACCUGCCCUUGACUGUGGGAUAACUUCAGGAAACUGGGGCUAAUACCGGAUAGGAGCUCCUGCUGCAUGGUGGGGGUGGGAAAGUUUCGGCGGGUGGGGAUGGACUCGCGGGUGAUCAGCUUGUUGGUGGGGGAGUGGCUUACCAAGGCUGUGACGGGUAGCCGGCCUGUGAGGGUGACCGGCCACAAUGGGACUGCGAGACGGCCCAGAGUGCUACGGGAGGCAGCAGUGGGGAAUAUUGCACAAUGGGCGGAAGCCUGAUGCAGCAACGCCGGGGGCGGGAUGACGGCCUUGGGGUUGUAAACCGCGUUCGCCUGUGACGAAGCGUGAGUGACGGUAAUGGGUAAAGAAGCACCGGCUAACUACGUG
RNAcentral lists this ribosomal RNA (468 nucleotides) under uncultured bacterium. RNAcentral's name for it is "partial 16S ribosomal RNA". It matches the Rfam family "Bacterial small subunit ribosomal RNA", at positions 28 to 507 of the family's 1533-position model. The record is from RNAcentral.